CUACCAUGCAGUCGACGAUGAAGCUGCAGCUUGCUGUGGUGGAUUAGUGGCGAACGGGUGAGUAACACGUGAGCAACCUGCCCCUGACUCUGGGAUAAGCGCUGGAAACGGUGUCUAAUACUGGAUAUGUCCCAUCACCGCAUGGUGUGUGGGUGGAAAGAUUUUUCGGUUGGGGAUGGGCUCGCGGCCUAUCAGCUUGUUGGUGAGGUAAUGGCUCACCAAGGCGUCGACGGGUAGCCGGCCUGAGAGGGUGACCGGCCACACUGGGACUGAGACACGGCCCAGACUCCUACGGGAGGCAGCAGUGGGGAAUAUUGCACAAUGGGCGGAAGCCUGAUGCAGCAACGCCGCGUGAGGGAUGACGGCCUUCGGGUUGUAAACCUCUUUUAGCAGGGAAGAAGCGAAAGUGACGGUACCUGCAGAAAAAGCACCGGCUAACUACGUGCCAG
Molecule: ribosomal RNA, 449 nt
Filed under: uncultured bacterium
Lineage: Bacteria
Description: bacterial SSU rRNA
Rfam family: Bacterial small subunit ribosomal RNA
Source: RNAcentral